UAAAAUGGGAGGUAAAUUUCUCCUAAGGCUAAAUAACGGCGAGAGACCGAUAGCGAACAAGUACCGUGAGGGAAAGAUGAAAAGAACUUUGAAAAGAGAGUUAAACAGUACGUGAAAUUGUUGAAAGGGAAACGAUUGAAGCCAGUCGUACCUUCGGGUAAUCAGCCUUUCGGGUGCGAUUCUGUGGGGUGUGAGGAGCUUAACACCUUCAUGCUUUGCAUAUUUGUGCUCUUGGGUGUACUUGCCCGUGUGGUUGGUUAACAUCAAUUUUGGUUAUCAUAAAAUGACUGGAGGAAUGUAGCUUCGAUCUCGUAUUGAAGUGUUUAUAGCCUUCGGUAGAUGUGAUGAACGAGAUUGAGGAUUGCAACGGAUACCCUUCGGGGCUACCUGUCUGGUCUCUGAUCGUUGCUCUGGUGCUGAAAGCUUGCUUACAGUUAUCAAAGUUGAUGGUCAAUAGGUUAGAACGGGUUAAA
RNAcentral lists this ribosomal RNA (473 nucleotides) under Rhizophagus intraradices. Its description in RNAcentral is "eukaryotic LSU rRNA". It matches the Rfam family "Eukaryotic large subunit ribosomal RNA", at positions 288 to 630 of the family's 3401-position model. The record is from RNAcentral. Lineage: Eukaryota; Fungi; Glomeromycota; Glomeromycetes; Glomerales; Glomeraceae.